Molecule: long non-coding RNA, 226 nt
Filed under: Setaria viridis
Lineage: Eukaryota; Viridiplantae; Streptophyta; Magnoliopsida; Poales; Poaceae
Description: long non-coding RNA (SVIR_LNC006106)
Source: RNAcentral
CCUUUUCGGGUCUGUCCGUCAGGACGUGACCGCAGAGUGUGGCAGCUGGCCAGCAAGGGCUUUUGUUACGUACAGGCGGUACAGCGCACACCGCACUUGGACUGGGUGCUCGCACACAGGAGCCGCCGGCCGCCCGGCCCGGACGUGUAUGGCAUAGCAGGCUGGGGCGCUGGGCAUGGUGCGAGCUCGCCAUGCAGAGCAGAGGUGACCUCUGGAAAGCGGUGCU